AAAUGAAUCAAAACUUUCAACAACGGAUCUCUUGGUUCUGGCAUCGAUGAAGAACGCAGCGAAAUGCGAUAAGUAAUGUGAAUUGCAGAAUUCAGUGAAUCAUCGAAUCUUUGAACGCACAUUGCGCCCUCUGGUAUUCCGGAGGGCAUGCCUGUUCGAGCGUCAUUUC
Molecule: ribosomal RNA, 169 nt
Filed under: Phomopsis sp. taxon 3
Lineage: Eukaryota; Fungi; Ascomycota; Sordariomycetes; Diaporthales; Diaporthaceae
Description: 5.8S ribosomal RNA
Rfam family: 5.8S ribosomal RNA
About the family: 5.8S ribosomal RNA (5.8S rRNA) is a component of the large subunit of the eukaryotic ribosome. It is transcribed by RNA polymerase I as part of the 45S precursor that also contains 18S and 28S rRNA.
Source: RNAcentral